RNAcentral lists this ribosomal RNA (258 nucleotides) under uncultured bacterium. Its description in RNAcentral is "partial 16S ribosomal RNA". It matches the Rfam family "Bacterial small subunit ribosomal RNA", at positions 524 to 777 of the family's 1533-position model. The record is from RNAcentral.
UACGUAGGGGGGCAAGCGUUUGUCCGGAAUCAUUGGGCGUAAAGAGCGUGUAGGCGGCUUGGUAAGUCCGCUGUGAAAGUCCAGGGCUCAACCCUGGAAUGCCGGUGGAAACUGUCAAGCUUGAGUCCGGAAGAGGCGAGUGGAAUUCCCGGUGUAGCGGUGAAAUGCGCAGAUAUCAGGAGGAACACCGGUGGCGAAAGGCGGGGUCUCUGGGCCGAUAUUGACGCUGAGGAGCGAAAGCGUGGGGAGCGAACAGGA